AUUGAACGCUGGCGGCAUGCCUUAUACAUGCAAGUCGAACGGUAACAGGUCUUCGGAUGCUGACGAGUGGCGAACGGGUGAGUAAUACAUCGGAACGUGCCUAGUAGUGGGGGAUAACUACUCGAAAGAGUGGCUAAUACCGCAUGAGAUCUACGGAUGAAAGCAGGGGAUCGCAAGACCUUGUGCUACUAGAGCGGCCGAUGGCAGAUUAGGUAGUUGGUGGGAUAAAAGCUUACCAAGCCGACGAUCUGUAGCUGGUCUGAGAGGACGAUCAGCCACACUGGGACUGAGACACGGCCCAGACUCCUACGGGAGGCAGCAGUGGGGAAUUUUGGACAAUGGGCGCAAGCCUGAUCCAGCAAUGCCGCGUGCAGGAUGAAGGCCUUCGGGUUGUAAACUGCUUUUGUACGGAACGAAAAGCCCCGGGUUAAUACCCUGGGGUCAUGACGGUACCGUGAGAAUAAGCACCGGCUAACUACGUGCCAGCCGCCGCCGUAA
RNAcentral lists this ribosomal RNA (498 nucleotides) under uncultured bacterium. RNAcentral's name for it is "partial 16S ribosomal RNA". It matches the Rfam family "Bacterial small subunit ribosomal RNA", at positions 30 to 523 of the family's 1533-position model. The record is from RNAcentral.